This 305-nucleotide ribosomal RNA is filed under the name uncultured bacterium. Its description in RNAcentral is "bacterial SSU rRNA". It matches the Rfam family "Bacterial small subunit ribosomal RNA", at positions 335 to 658 of the family's 1533-position model. The record is from RNAcentral.
GUCCUACGGGGGGCAGCAGUGGGGAAUAUUGCGCAAUGGGGGAAACCCUGAUGCAGCGACGCCGCGUGGGUGAAGAAGUACUUCGGUACGUAAAGCCCUAUCAGCAGGGAAGAAAAUGACGGUACCUGAUUAAGAAGCCCCGGCUAACUACGUGCCAGCAGCCGCGGUAAUACGUAGGGGGCAAGCGUUAUCCGGAUUUACUGGGUGUAAAGGGGGCGCAGACGGCGAUGCAAGCCAGGAGUGAAAGCCCGGGGCCCAACCCCGGGACUGCUCUUGGAACGGCAUGGCUGGAGUACAGGAGGGGC